Molecule: ribosomal RNA, 253 nt
Filed under: uncultured prokaryote
Description: partial 16S ribosomal RNA
Rfam family: Bacterial small subunit ribosomal RNA
Source: RNAcentral
UACGGGGGGGCAAGCGUUGUUCGGAAUUACUGGGCGUAAAGGGUUCGUAGGUGGCCAACUAAGUCAGACGUGAAAUCCCUCAGCUUAACUGGGGAACUGCGUCUGAUACUGGUGUGGCUUGAGUGCAGGAGAGGAACGCGGAAUUCCAGGUGUAGCGGUGAAAUGCGUAGAUAUCUGGAGGAACACCGGUGGCGAAGGCGGCAUUCUGGACCGACAUUGACGCUGAGGAGCGAAAGCCAGGGGAGCAAACGGG